This is a non-coding RNA of Ipomoea nil (Japanese morning glory), 90 nucleotides long. Lineage: Eukaryota; Viridiplantae; Streptophyta; Magnoliopsida; Solanales; Convolvulaceae. The record is from Rfam.
CGCUGGAGGCAGCGGAUAAUCGAUCUAUUCCUGUAACCUAAAGAAUUAAUUAGCUUAACAGGAUUUGAUCGAUAAUCCUCUGCAUCCAGC